UACGUAGGUGGCAAGCGUUGUCCGGAAUUAUUGGGCGUAAAGCGCGCGCAGGUGGUUUCUUAAGUCUGAUGUGAAAGCCCACGGCUCAACCGUGGAGGGUCAUUGGAAACUGGGGAACUUGAGUGCAGGAGAGAAGAGUGGAAUUCCACGUGUAGCGGUGAAAUGCGUAGAGAUAUGGAGGAACACCAGUGGCGAAGGCGACUUUCUGGUCUAUAACUGACACUGAGGCGCGAAAGCGUGGGGAGCAAACAGG
RNAcentral lists this ribosomal RNA (253 nucleotides) under uncultured bacterium. Its description in RNAcentral is "partial 16S ribosomal RNA". It matches the Rfam family "Bacterial small subunit ribosomal RNA", at positions 524 to 776 of the family's 1533-position model. The record is from RNAcentral.